AUACCGGAUGUGCCGGAAGGUUAAAGGCUUGCUGCCUGAAGAUGAGCUCGCGUCUGAUUAGCUAGUAGGUGGGGUAAGAGCCUACCUAGGCGACGAUCAGUAGCUGGUUUGAGAGGAUGACCAGCCACACUGGGACUGAGACACGGCCCAGACUCNUACGGGAGGCAGCAGUGGGGAAUUUUCCGCAAUGGGCGAAAGCCUGACGGAGCAAUACCGCGUGAGGGAGGAAGGCUCUUGGGUUGUAAACCUCUUUUCUCAGGGAAGAACACAAUGACGGUACCUGAGGAAUCAGCAUCGGCUAACUCCGUGCCAGCAGCCGCGGUAAUACGGAGGAUGCAAGCGUUAUCCGGAAUGAUUGGGCGUAAAGCGUCCGCAGGUGGCUGUGUAAGUCUGCUGUCAAAGAGCAAAGCUCAACUUUGUAAAGGCAGUGGAAACUACACGGCUAGAGUGCGUUCGGGGCAGAGGGAAUUCCUGGUGUAGCGGUGAAAUGCGUAGAGAUCAGGAAGAACACCGGUGGCGAAGGC
RNAcentral lists this ribosomal RNA (524 nucleotides) under cyanobiont ZAC 5B of Zamia amblyphyllidia. RNAcentral describes it as "bacterial SSU rRNA". It matches the Rfam family "Bacterial small subunit ribosomal RNA", at positions 166 to 722 of the family's 1533-position model. The record is from RNAcentral. Lineage: Bacteria; Bacillati; Cyanobacteriota.